UGCUUGAGAGUGGCGAACGGGUGAGUAAUAUAUCGGAACGUGCCCAAUCGUGGGGGAUAACGUAGAGAAAUUUACGCUAAUACCGCAUACGAUCUAAGGAUGAAAGCGGGGGACUCGCAAGAGCCUCGCGCGAUUGGAGCGGCUGAUAUCAGAUUAGGUUGUUGGUGAGGUAAAAGCUCACCAAGCCGACGAUCUGUAGCUGGUUUGAGAGAACGACCAGCCACACUGGGACUGAGACACGGCCCAGACUCCUACGGGAGGCAGCAGUGGGGAAUUUUGGACAAUGGGCGAAAGCCUGAUCCAGCAAUGCCGCGUGCAGGAAGAAGGCCUUCGGGUUGUAAACUGCUUUUGUACGGAACGAAACGGUCUGCUUUAAUACAGCGGGCUAAUGACGGUACCGUAAGAACAAGCACCGGCUAACUACGUGCCAGCAGCCGCGGUAAUACGUAGGGUGCGAGCGUUAAUCGGAAUUACUGGGCGUAAAGCGUGCGCAGGCGGUUAUAUAAGGCAGUUGUGAAAUCCCCGGGCUCAACCUGGGAAUUGCAUCUGUGACUGUAUAGCUAGAGUACGGUAGAGGGGGAUGGAAUUCCGCGUGUAGCAGUGAAAUGCGUAGAUAUGCGGAGGAACACCGAUGGCGAAGGCAAUCCCCUGGACCUGUACUGACGCUCAUGCACGAAAGCGUG
RNAcentral lists this ribosomal RNA (683 nucleotides) under uncultured bacterium. Its description in RNAcentral is "bacterial SSU rRNA". It matches the Rfam family "Bacterial small subunit ribosomal RNA", at positions 86 to 763 of the family's 1533-position model. The record is from RNAcentral.